RNAcentral lists this long non-coding RNA (597 nucleotides) under Salmo salar (Atlantic salmon). RNAcentral's name for it is "lncRNA (ENSSSAG00000117679.1, ENSSSAG00000118430.1)". Lineage: Eukaryota; Metazoa; Chordata; Actinopteri; Salmoniformes; Salmonidae. The record is from RNAcentral.
CCUAUACUCACUUUAUUCAUGUUAUUUGUGUCUCUUUCGAUGUACAAUUUAAUAAGGCUAGUCUACUAGAGAAUAAGGCUAUUAUGGACAAUCAAAAUAUGUAGAACUUUUCACACUUAACAUUUCAACAAAUUAUUUGUAAUCAUGUUGACGUCACAGACUGUUGUUGUUUUUGUCAGUGCCCUUGGGACUUUUCCAUCCUUACCCACAGACUCCAUAGCUUUAGGCGCAGGACCACAUCUGGGUUAAAGGUCGCGCAGAGAAAUAUGUUUCCUUCCUAAAGCGGACGUGUCCUGCUUCAGAGUGCAGCUUUCACCACGCUCUUGUCACCAGUCUGUACGUUGUUUGUUUUCAAGGUUUAUGAACUCUUUCCCCUGCAGGAAAACAAAUAAUAUCUCGAUGUCAUAAGCUGCAAGGCAAGCCAAACCCGGACGACGCUGGGCGAAUUGUGCACCGCCCUAUGGGACUCCCAAUCAGAGCGGGAUGUGAUAAAGGGACUGUAGUGAAGCCUCUUGCACUGAGAUGCAGUGACUUAGACCCGCUGUGUCACUCGGGAGCUGAUAUUUAUAUGUUUUAUUGUAUGUAUUGAUAUGUGUG